CCCCUUAUGAUUUGGGCUACACACGUGCUACAAUGGACAAUACAAAGGGCAGCGAAACCGCGAGGUCAAGCAAAUCCCAUAAAGUUGUUCUCAGUUCGGAUUGUAGUCUGCAACUCGACUAUAUGAAGCUGGAAUCGCUAGUAAUCGUAGAUCAGCAUGCUACGGUGAAUACGUUCCCGGGUCUUGUACACACCGCCCGUCACACCACGAGAGUUUGUAACACCCGAAGCCGGUGGAGUAACCAUUUGGAGCUAGCCGUCGAAGGUGGGACAAAUGAUUGGGGUGAAGUCGUAACAAGGUAGCCGUAUCGGAAGGUGCGGCUGGAUCACCUCCUUUCUAAGGA
RNAcentral lists this ribosomal RNA (343 nucleotides) under Staphylococcus epidermidis NIH051668. Its description in RNAcentral is "bacterial SSU rRNA". It matches the Rfam family "Bacterial small subunit ribosomal RNA", at positions 1198 to 1533 of the family's 1533-position model. The record is from RNAcentral. Lineage: Bacteria; Bacillati; Bacillota; Bacilli; Caryophanales; Staphylococcaceae.